This 689-nucleotide long non-coding RNA is filed under the name Ursus maritimus (polar bear). Its description in RNAcentral is "lncRNA (ENSUMAG00000007375.1)". The record is from RNAcentral. Lineage: Eukaryota; Metazoa; Chordata; Mammalia; Carnivora; Ursidae.
CUGCGCCGCAACGCCGAGCGCACCGACAUCUGCCUGCUCAAAGGUGGCUAUGAGAGGUUUUCCUCCGAGUACCCAGAAUUCUGUUCCAAAACCAAGGCCCUGGCAGCCCUCCCACCUGCUGUGCCCCCCAGCACUGCGGAAUCCCUGGACGUGGGCUGCAGCUCCUGUGGAACCCCACUGCACGACCAGGGGGGUCCCGUGGAGAUCCUUCCCUUCCUCUACCUCGGCAGUGCCUACCACGCCGCCCGGAGGGACAUGCUGGAUACCCUGGGGAUCACUGCCCAAACCACUUUGAAGGACACUAUCAGUACAAGUGCAUCCCAGUGGAAGACAACCACAAGGCGGACAUCAGCUCCUGGUUCAUGGAGGCCAUCGAGUACAUCGGUAGGUUGGCGCUGUGGCGGACGCCAAGGGCCGGAGGAUGGGAGGGAACCAUGAGUCCUCACCGUUGAAGGAUGGACAUAGGGGGCGCUGUGUCCAGCGUGUACCCAUUUCCCCUCUGCCUCUAAGGGAGGCUGGCCGCCUGGAUGUUGUGUUGGGGUCAGAUAGGAAGAUCGACUCCCACUCCCGUGCUGUUAGCCUAUCCCGCCAAUAACGUUCUCCUCGCGUCCGGAUGUCUCUAUGAUGAGGCUUUGGGGAUGGGGAGGAAGACAAAUAAAGGGAGAGUUGGGACAUUGUUUUUGUUCCUG